AUGAUGUCGACCAAUACAGCUAAAGAUUUGAAAACUUGGGGAAUUAUCCUCCGAUUGCUAAAAAGAUCUCGGGAAGAGAGGGAAACCUGGAAGGCUGCCCGGGAUGCGCUGUUUCAUCAGGAGGAGGCUGAGACCCAGACCAAAGAGGAACAAAACAGGGGGGAAACGGGGGCUCAGGGGGAGGAAGCCUCGGCUCCCUCCAUCUUGCCCGUAUGCCCUCGCGAUCCGCCCCCGACGUAUCCAUGGCAGGAUUUAGCGCGGGCUGACUGUGGGGCGGGGGAGAGAGGAUUCGACCCAGAGGACUGUGUACCAGGAGCUCCGCUACAAAAGGACCUUAGCGACGAGGAUAGAGCGUUACUUCAGGGGGCAGCAGGGGGGGAAAAGACCCAAAAGGGGAGAAGGAACAGGGAGGGCGAAGAAUGGGUGGAUAGGUACCAAUCAGAACGAAGGGAACGAUAUGAAACCAAAAAAGGCAGAAAAAGAGAACUGCCACCGAUUAGGGAAGAACUAUCGGAGGAUAGUGAGGGGGAGGGCUCAGACAUGCAAGAACUUACUCGUAGACAGCGGGAGUGUGCGAUAGGAGGGAGCAAGAAAAAAGAAGCACGGACCCGCAGGGAGGGGGAGGCGAUCGGGGCAGUUGACAACUUGCUACAUGCCCUGGACGAGAUUCGGCAGGAAGUAAUAAAGCAGAAGGAGUUGUUGCAAGGGGUGAAAGGUGCUGGAACUCCUGCCCUGUCAGUGCUGCUCACAGACUGGCGGCUCAUAGCGGAGUCCUGCGCACUGCAAGGGCUGAGAUUCGAGCAAGCGCCACAGGCAUGCCCCGUAAGAGUGGUGCCAGGUGGAGGAAUUCAGUGGGUAGCCCUGGAGCCUAAGAUAGUGCAAGGCCUAAUGACAUCGAUAAAAGACAACGGCCUGAAGCACCAACAGACCCAAAUGUUGCUAGAUAGCCUGCACGCUCAGCCGUGUAUUCCAUAUGACUUGAGGCUGUUGGCGAAGGCGAUCUUAGCCCCUACACACUGGAUUCUGUGGAAAGAAGCCUGGCAAGGCCGGUGUGCYGCCCUUGCGGCAGCAGCAGCCGGCGACCCUAACCACCCCCUGGCAGGUACCACCCUAGAACGCCUAGUGGGAAGAGGUCCGAACCUUGCAUCCCCAAAUCAACAGGCGACCGCGCUAAGGGCCCGGGAGGUGGUGGCCACUACAGAGGCCUCUCGAGCCGCCUAUGAGGAGAUUGGGAAGUUGGUAAAAAUGGAACCCCCAUGGACAAGAAUCAAACAGGCGAAUGCAGAGAGUUUCACCGCCUUCUGCGAUCGG
Molecule: long non-coding RNA, 1311 nt
Filed under: Apteryx haastii (Great spotted kiwi)
Lineage: Eukaryota; Metazoa; Chordata; Aves; Apterygiformes; Apterygidae
Description: lncRNA (ENSAHAG00000016213.1)
Source: RNAcentral